RNAcentral lists this unclassified non-coding RNA (21 nucleotides) under Mus musculus (house mouse). RNAcentral's name for it is "oocyte_clustered_small_RNA6816". Lineage: Eukaryota; Metazoa; Chordata; Mammalia; Rodentia; Muridae. The record is from RNAcentral.
UGAGACAUCCCCACAACCGCG